Molecule: ribosomal RNA, 870 nt
Filed under: Agaricus sp.
Lineage: Eukaryota; Fungi; Basidiomycota; Agaricomycetes; Agaricales; Agaricaceae
Description: LSU rRNA
Rfam family: Eukaryotic large subunit ribosomal RNA
Source: RNAcentral
GGAUUCCCCUAGUAACUGCGAGUGAAGCGGGAAAAGCUCAAAUUUAAAAUCUGGCGGUCUCUGGCCGUCCGAGUUGUAAUCUAGAGAAGUAAUGCCCGUGCUGGACCGUGUAUAAGUCUCCUGGGAUGGGGCGUCAUAGAGGGUGAGAAUCCCGUCUUUGACAUGGACUACCAGUGCAUUGUGGUAUGCUCUCAAAGAGUCGAGUUGUUUGGGAAUGCAGCUCAAAAUGGGUGGUAAAUUCCAUCUAAAGCUAAAUAUUGGCGAGAGACCGAUAGCGAACAAGUACCGUGAGGGAAAGAUGAAAAGAACUUUGGAAAGAGAGUUAAACAGUACGUGAAAUUGCUGAAAGGGAAACGCUUGAAGUCAGUCGCGUUGGCCAGGGAUCAGCCUUGCUCUUGCAUGGUGUACUUUCUGGUUGACGGGUCAGCAUCAAUUUCGACUGCUGGAAAAGGUCUUGGGGAAUGURGCAGCUCCGGCUGUGUUAUAGCCCCUGGUCAUAUACAGUGGUUGGGAUUGAGGAACUCAGCACGCCGCAAGGCCGGGUUUCGACCACGUUCGUGCUUAGGAUGCUGGCAUAAUGGCUUUAAGCGACCCGUCUUGAAACACGGACCAAGGAGUCUAACAUGCCUGCGAGUAUUUGGGUGGAAAACCCAGGUGCGCAAUGAAAGUGAAAGUUGAGAUCCCUGUCGUGGGGAGCAUCGACGCCCGGACCAGAACUUUUGGGACGGAUCCGCGGUGGAGCAUGUAUGUUGGGACCCGAAAGAUGGUGAACUAUGCCUGAAUAGGGUGAAGCCAGAGGAAACUCUGGUGGAGGCUCGUAGCGAUUCUGACGUGCAAAUCGAUCGUCAAAUUUGGGUAUAGGGGCGAAAG